This 78-nucleotide microRNA precursor is filed under the name Trichobilharzia regenti. RNAcentral describes it as "mir-3492 microRNA precursor family". It matches the Rfam family "mir-3492 microRNA precursor family". The record is from Rfam by way of RNAcentral. Lineage: Eukaryota; Metazoa; Platyhelminthes; Trematoda; Strigeidida; Schistosomatidae.
AGCCCUCUGUAUUCGUGCUGAGAUUUUGUCAGAGAACAACCCGUUGGAGCUGAUGGUACUUCCCAAAUAAGUGAAGCG